CGUGUAGGCGGUUUGUCAAGUCGGGUGUGAAAGCCUGGGGCUCAGCCCCAGAAGUGCAUCCGAAACUAGCGAGCUAGAGCGCGAUAGAGGAGGGUGGAAUUCCUGGUGUAGCGGUGAAAUGCGUAGAUAUCAGGAGGAACACCGGCGGCGAAGGCGGCCCUCUGGAUCGUUGCUGACGCUGAGACGCGAAAGCGUGGGGAGCAAACAGGAUUAGAUACCCUGGUAGUCCACGCCUUAAACGAUGGGUACUAGGUGUUCGGGGUGUUGACCCCCUGAGUGCCGCAGUUAACGCAUUAAGUACCCCGCCUGGGGACUGCGGCCGCAAGGUUAA
This 331-nucleotide ribosomal RNA is filed under the name uncultured bacterium. RNAcentral's name for it is "bacterial SSU rRNA". It matches the Rfam family "Bacterial small subunit ribosomal RNA", at positions 568 to 897 of the family's 1533-position model. The record is from RNAcentral.